UCGCCUGUUUAUCAAAAACAUGUCCUCUUGGUGUGAAUUUGAGGUCUGACCUGCCCACUGAAUUGAUUUGAAGGGCCGCGGUAUUUUGACCGUGCAAAGGUAGCAUAAUCAUUAGUCUUUUAAUUGAAGGCUAGAAUGAAUGGUUGGACGAGGUGCUGGCUGUCUCACAAUAAUUGAGAAUAGAAUUUAACUUUUAAGUCAAAAGGCUUAAAUGAAGUUAAAGGACGAGAAGACCCUAUAGAGCUUUAUACUAUGCUGCUUAUUAAAUAUGCAGGUGUUUUGUUUUAGUAAGUUAAUUGGUAUUUUAUUGGGGUGAUAGGAAGAUAUAAUAAACUCUUUUUGUAAUUAGAACCAUUGAUGUAUGAAUUUAUGAUCCGUUAGUAACGAUUAUAAGGUUAAGUUACCUUAGGGAUAACAGCGUAAUCUUUUUUGAGAGUUCUUAUCGACAAAAAGGGUUGCGACCUCGAUGUUGGAUUAAGGUUAAUUUUGGGUGCAGAUGUUCAAAAUUUAGGUCUGUUCGACCUUUAAACCCUUACAUGAUCUGAGUUCAAACCGGA
RNAcentral lists this ribosomal RNA (557 nucleotides) under Perlesta sp. RNAcentral's name for it is "partial large subunit ribosomal RNA". It matches the Rfam family "Bacterial large subunit ribosomal RNA", at positions 1796 to 2620 of the family's 2925-position model. The record is from RNAcentral. Lineage: Eukaryota; Metazoa; Arthropoda; Insecta; Plecoptera; Perlidae.